This 468-nucleotide ribosomal RNA is filed under the name uncultured bacterium. RNAcentral describes it as "partial 16S ribosomal RNA". It matches the Rfam family "Bacterial small subunit ribosomal RNA", at positions 28 to 507 of the family's 1533-position model. The record is from RNAcentral.
GACGAACGCUGGCGGCGUGCUUAACACAUGCAAGUCGAACGGAAAGGCCCUGCUUUUGUGGGGUGCUCGAGUGGCGAACGGGUGAGUAACACGUGAGUAACCUGCCCUUGACUUUGGGAUAACUUCAGGAAACUGGGGCUAAUACCGGAUAGGAGCUCCUGCUGCAUGGCGGGGGUUGGAAAGUUUCGGCGGUUGGGGAUGGACUCGCGGCUUAUCAGCUUGUUGGUGGGGUAGUGGCUUUCCAAGGCUUUGACGGGUAGCCGGCCUGAGAGGGUGACCGGCCACAUUGGGACUGAGAUACGGCCCAGACUCCUACGGGAGGCAGCAGUGGGGAAUAUUGCACAAUGGGCGGAAGCCUGAUGCAGCAACGCCGCGUGCGGGAUGACGGCCUUCGGGUUGUAAACCGCUUUCGCCUGUGACGAAGCGUGAGUGACGGUAAUGGGUAAAGAAGCACCGGCUAACUACGUG